UACGAAGGGGGCUAGCGUUGCUCGGAAUCACUGGGCGUAAAGCGCACGUAGGCGGCUUUUUAAGUCAGAGGUGAAAUCCUGGAGCUCAACUCCAGAACUGCCUUUGAUACUGGAGUGCUUGAGUCCGGGAGAGGUGAGUGGAACUGCGAGUGUAGAGGUGAAAUUCGUAGAUAUUCGCAAGAACACCAAGUGGCGAAGGCGGCUCACUGGCCCGGUACUGACGCUGAGGUGCGAAAGCGUGGGGAGCAACAGGG
RNAcentral lists this ribosomal RNA (254 nucleotides) under uncultured bacterium. Its description in RNAcentral is "partial 16S ribosomal RNA". It matches the Rfam family "Bacterial small subunit ribosomal RNA", at positions 524 to 776 of the family's 1533-position model. The record is from RNAcentral.